This 253-nucleotide ribosomal RNA is filed under the name uncultured bacterium. RNAcentral's name for it is "partial 16S ribosomal RNA". It matches the Rfam family "Bacterial small subunit ribosomal RNA", at positions 524 to 776 of the family's 1533-position model. The record is from RNAcentral.
UACGUAGGGCGCAAGCGUUAUCCGGAAUUAUUGGGCGUAAAGAGCUCGUAGGCGGUUUGUCGCGUCUGCCGUGAAAGUCCGGGGCUCAACUCCGGAUCUGCGGUGGGUACGGGCAGACUAGAGUGCGGUAGGGGAGAUUGGAAUUCCUGGUGUAGCGGUGGAAUGCGCAGAUAUCAGGAGGAACACCGAUGGCGAAGGCAGAUCUCUGGGCCGAUACUGACGCUGAGGAGCGAAAGCGUGGGGAGCGAACAGG